GGUUUAUUUCCCUGGCGAGAACAUGUUAUUGGAGAUUCAAAGGAAGAACCUGAGGACUUCAAGAGAUUGGAUAGAUGGCAAAUGGGUUGAAGUUGAGGGAAAGAAAGAUAUAAAGUCGAGUUUAACUGAUUUAUCCAAAUGCAGUAUCAAAGAACAUGGGAACUGCGAAAAACAGAUGGCUCCGAAGCUUGUGGCAAUGAAGACAACAAACUGCUGUCAAUUUCUAAGCAAUCAGCUGAGAAGCAAGACAAUGAUGCUCCUAAACUGAAAAGGCCAUGACGUAGUGAUUUUCUUG
This 295-nucleotide unclassified non-coding RNA is filed under the name Hevea brasiliensis (rubber tree). Lineage: Eukaryota; Viridiplantae; Streptophyta; Magnoliopsida; Malpighiales; Euphorbiaceae. The record is from RNAcentral.